AGCGAACGCUGGCGGCAGGCCUAACACAUGCAAGUCGAACGAACCUUUCGGGGUUAGUGGCGGACGGGUGAGUAACACGUGGGAACGUGCCUUUAGGUUCGGAAUAACUCAGGGAAACUUGUGCUAAUACCGAAUGUGCCCUUCGGGGGAAAGAUUAAUCGCCUUUAGAGCGGCCCGCGUCUGAUUAGCUAGUUGGUUGAGGUAAUGGCUCACCAAGGCGACGAUCAGUAGCUGGUCUGAGAGGAUGAUCAGCCACAUUGGGACUGAGACACGGCCCAAAAUCCUACGGGAGGCAGCAGUGGGGAAUCUUGCGCAAUGGGCGAAAGCCUGACGCAGCCAUGCCGCGUGAAUGAUGAAGGUCUUAGGAUUGUAAAAUUCUUUCACCGGGGAAGAUAAUGACGGUACCCGGAGAAGAAGCCCCGGCUAACUUCGUG
RNAcentral lists this ribosomal RNA (434 nucleotides) under uncultured bacterium. Its description in RNAcentral is "partial 16S ribosomal RNA". It matches the Rfam family "Bacterial small subunit ribosomal RNA", at positions 29 to 507 of the family's 1533-position model. The record is from RNAcentral.